AUUGAACGCUGGCGGAAUGCUUUACACAUGCAAGUCGAACGGCAGCACGGACUUCGGUCUGGUGGCGAGUGGCGAACGGGUGAGUAAUGUAUCGGAACGUGCCCAGUCGUGGGGUAUAACGUAGUGAAAAUUACGCUAAUACCGCAUACGAUCUAUGGAUGAAAGCGGGGGAUCGCAAGACCUCGCGCGAUUGGAGCGGCCGAUAACAGAUUAGGUAGUUGGUGGGGUAAAGGCCCACCAAGCCAACGAUCUGUAGCUGGUCUGAGAGGACGAUGAGCAACACCGGAACUGAGACACAGUCCAGACUCCUACGGGAGGCAGCAGUGGGGAAUUUUGGACAAUGGGGGAAAGCCUGAUCCAGCCAUUCCGCGUGCAGGAUGAAGGCCGUCGGGUUGUAAACUGCUUUUGUACAGAACGAGAAGGUUUCUACUAAUACUAGGAGCUCAUGACGGUACUGUAAGAAUAAGCACCGGCUAACUACGUGCCAGCCGCCGCUGUAA
Molecule: ribosomal RNA, 500 nt
Filed under: uncultured bacterium
Lineage: Bacteria
Description: partial 16S ribosomal RNA
Rfam family: Bacterial small subunit ribosomal RNA
Source: RNAcentral